This 4777-nucleotide long non-coding RNA is filed under the name Sus scrofa (pig). Its description in RNAcentral is "lncRNA (ENSSSCG00000056573.1)". The record is from RNAcentral. Lineage: Eukaryota; Metazoa; Chordata; Mammalia; Artiodactyla; Suidae.
CCAUUCAUGUGGGCUCCAUCUUCAUAACCUAAUUGCCUUCCAAAGGCUCAACCUCCAUAUAUCACCCAUUGGGAGUUAGGUUUCAAUGUAUGAAUUUUGGGAGAGGGACACAAACAUUCAGUCCCUAACAACUCUCUCUUUUCUGGGCCUUUGUGGAGGCUGCAUUCUCCACCUGGAUUGGCUUUCUUCCUAUGCUCCCCAUGUGAACUCCUUCCUUUGUUGAAACUCAUAAGUGUCAACUUCACAGUGAAACUUCCCUUGAAGACUUCUCAUUCCCCACCCAUCCAUCCAGAAAGGAUUAAUUUGAUCCCUCUUCUAUUCCCUCAGUACACAGUUCUCAGGGCUUUUAGCACUUGCCACAUUGAGUUUUGACUCUUGGUUUAAUUUUAUUCCCUCCAUUAAACGCUGAACUGCCUAAAGUCAGUGUUGGUCAUUGUUUUAGUCACCUAAUGCUUAGGCUCUAGUGGGUUCUUAAUAAAAUUGUAACAGUAGUCAGUAACAUUCAAUCCCUACAAUAAUUUGAAAGGGAGGGUGUGGUAGAGGUUAAUAUUACAAAAGUGCUCACCAGGGCUUCUGGUUCUCUUCUUGAAGUUAGACGUGGCCACAUGACUUGCUUUAGACAAUGAAAUUUAAGCAGAAGUGAUAGACAUCACCUCUACAUAUAAUUAUCUAAGAACAGGUGCUCUUUCCCCCUGCAAUGGUGGAUGCUAAAGUCUUGUGUUGGGCAGGCAACAUCAUAAGGUAGCGAAGCCUCAGUCACCCUCUGCUGAUCCAUAUUAGACAUAUAGUAUGGGUGAGAAAUAAAGCUCCACUGUGUUAAAUCACUGAUACUUGGUAUUUGUUACUGCAGCAUGACUUAGUCUUUCCUGACUAAUACCAAGAGGGUUUAAUAGUAUCCCCUUUUUAUAAAUGAAGGUCACCCAGAUGAUAGGUAACAGAGUGAGGAUUCAGACUCUGCUGGGUAGGAUGUUAGAGCUUAUCUUCCAGUCCACUGUGAAUAGAGGAGGAAAGAAAUCAAUUUUCUUCCACACUGAGCAUCCCAAUUGCUGCUUCCUUUCCAGCUUCCAACCAUUGUCAGGAAUUGAUAGAGCAGCUAUUCCUUCAGAGAAUAUCUAAGCAAGUUCUCCCAUACCUCCUUCCUAAGUGUGAGCAUCCAGAUGUUCUUUAGGUUGAGAGAUAUGCGCUUAUUAGUAACAGAGCACCAGAGACUACAUUUUCUUUCCCCCACUUCCUCAUGAUCCCUGUGCCAGUGAUCCCUAGGUCUCUGGUAAAGGCCUGAGCCUGUUUUUUUUUUCCCAUAUCUAGACAUCACGAGUCCCUAACACUCCCAAGGUAAGAGUAUCUCUAUAGAAUUGAUCAGUGAUUCCUAUUAUGACCUAAUGGCCAAAUCCUAGGCCUGGGAUUUAUUACUAACCAACCCCUUACCUUACUGCUUUGAGUUUAUCACUUUCCCCAUUGUUUCAGUUUGUCCACUUGUAAAAGAGAAGAAUGAAUUUUUGCAGUCAUCAAAUAAUAAUUGGAAGUGAGCAUGGACGUGAGAAGUCAUGAUUAGCGUACAUAUCAGGGUUAUACAGUUACUAUUAUCUCAUGUAUUUCUCACUACAGCCUUAGGAGAAACACACUAUUCUAUCCUCUGUUUACAGCCAUGGAAACUGCGGCUCAGAGAAGUUAACUAAUUUGCCCAAAGGUAAAACAAAUAAGUUAUGAAGUCAGAGUGAAAACAUGACUUUAAAGACCAUUCUUUUCAAGAGUCAAAUUAGGUUUUACUUAAUAGGGUCCAGAAUGCAUAGUUUUAAAUGUUUAUCUUCAGUGUCCAAAGUCCUCUGAAAAUAUAUGCCUAAAAUACUCUCUUACAGGAAUUACCAUUAAUGUCAUAGUCAGUCAAUGAUAUUUAUAAACUACCCUUUACGACCUACCAAGAAUAAUGAUAAUGACAUUUUACAUUCCAGACACCCUUUCAACUUCUCAAAGUACUGUCCGUAUCUAUUGAUGCAUUUUAUUCUCCCAGAAAUACUUUGAUUCCUCAGAGAUGAGGUCAAAGAAUUUUCCUAGGCAAUUUUAAAGUCUCCUGACUCUUCAUCCAGUAAAAUUUCUUUUGGAAGGAGGAAUGUGUGUUUAUGCAUGUGUGAUUCAAUUAUUUUAUUGAAUGUUUUUAGGUAAGACAAUCAGUGUUUGUGGUAACAAACCAAACUGUACAGAUCUGGUUUUGAGAUGAAUCACUUUCCUCUUUCUUCUUCCAAUCCCACUCUCCUAAAGUUAUCCAUAGCAAUGGAUUGGUCUAUAUUUUCCCGCUACUCCAGAUAACAAAAAUUCAUGGUUUCUAAGACAAUAUCAUAGACUGACUCAUGCAGUAAAGUGUACUUCCUCCAGGACAUCAGAAAGUAUAAUUGUGGUAAUUUUUAGCAUAAGAAUCAUUUUGAGAUUCUCUUACUGACCCUGGAGUCUAUUGCUGCCUCCUUUAUUUAUCCCAUUCCUGAAUCCCUCUCUCUAGCUCUAGGCCUCCCAGCCUGGCCAUUUACAAACUAGGCUCCCAGGAUUAAUUGGCAUUGAUUGCAUUUGAUGUGUUCCCAGUUUCUCACCUACAUGACAUAAUAUCUGUUCAUCCUCAUACUAAAAAUUAUGAACCAAACCCACUCUGUCACCCUAUCCAGAUGCCCCUGAACUUCUGCUGAGAGCAUUUUGUAGUGUCUAAGGAUGACUUUAUAAGAACUUUAAAUAGAGAAUGAAGUCUUGGUAUACACAGCACUCUCUGAUAUGAAUGCAGCACAUCUUCCAUUUAUCCCUUCCUGCCACUCUCCCAACAGUAUAAGAGCGUCUCUUGGGCUCUGUCCUAAAAUUGUUUAACUUACACUCACAUCCCAUCAAUUUUGACAUCAUAAUGUGAUUUGCAUUGAUUUGAGGCUGCCAUCAGGAUGAGCUCAUAACUAUGUCAAAACCUCUGUUGAGUAAAUAAAGAACUGAUUUUGAAUGUGGGGAAUGAUGGAGAAUGGAAAAAUCACAGAAAGAGACCAGAAACAAUACAAGCUCAGUAGGGAAAUUUUAGACAUCAAACAUUUUUUUUUUAAAUACAAAAUACCAAAGGUCACUAGUCUCCCACAUCAAAUACACAGACAGUAUUUUCAAACAAAUCCAUUUCAGUCUGAGUCUUGAAACAAGUCUGAAAUAUGUGAUUUUGCACAAAAGAUUCUGGGACAAUUUUAAAUUUGUUGUUUUUAAAAAAUGAAGGAGGAACUUUUGGGGAUGGCAGAGGAGGGAGGGGAGAAGAAUGGCACCAUCUUUCUCUCCGUUCUCCUUCAGCACAUGGACUUAAACCUAUCCUGAGAGAUUGACAUCAAAAUAACUGAUCAUGAAGAGUAAAAUUCCAGAAUCAUACUCAUCUGCAGGCCUGAGAUGCCACCAGAGAGAGGGGCAAAGUAGGCUCCAAAACGUGGCUGUGUGUCUGUUUUUAAAGGGCUAGCAGCCCCCUUUGUACUCAGUUAAGGCUGCCUGGAGCACCCAUGCUUUACCCAAGAUGCAACUUCUGCAUCUGUCUUGGCAUCAGUUCAACAAGGGAGUGAGAUUUGGCCAAAGGUGGGUGGAAUCAGCCUGAAAGUGUUCCUUCGCCCAUACCAUCCUGACUGAAAAAGGCGGAUGGAGAUUGAAGGUUUUCGGGCUGAGUUCCCGCCGACCUUAACUGGAAGAGCUUGCGCUCUUUCACAUCUGCAGCUGUGUCCUCCUCCGGGAGUUGUCCAGCUAAAUGUGAUUUUAAACAUCUGUCAGCUAAAUCAGAGCUCCAGAUUUAGCACUCGGGAACAUUAUGUGGAUUUGUGAUGCUCGCUGGAGAACACUGGAUCCAAAAACCAAGCUCACAUGAAACAGCCGGGUGGUACUCUGGUUGGUAAUUUCAUCUAUGACGCAUUUAAUUUGCCUGCACAUUUAUGAACGUUAUGUAAAGGGAAAGAGUGACCAUUUCCUUGGAAAUGGUUUUCUGAAUUGCUGCAAGAUCAGUAGCCAGAAGGGAGAAUCUUUACACUGGAACACUGACUGUACUCCCAUCGAAUCAUUUGCAUGCAUGGAAUUUAAAAAAAGAAGUCCCAACACAUUCAUUUUGUCUGAAUUUCCUGAAACUCUAUUUUCCGCCCUUUCUGAUCCAGCUAUAACUUUGCUCAACUGUACCCAUCCUGGAGGAAGAGAAGUUCUGUACACAAAACUACACAUGAUUCCUAGUUGAAAUUGAUAUCUUCGUCUUUGAAAAUAUCAAGCUUGGGAGAAUCAUCCUUGCAUUCCAUUGGGUGCAUGUUUCUGAAGAGAUGGGCUGCUGUUCAGGAGAACCGUGAAGUCAGGUUUUCACUCAAAGACUCUCUCUGCAGAGGCAGUGCUCCUGGAUGUUAGGCUAGAAAUCCUUGUUGCAAAUGAGGGUUUGAAACCCAUUCUAUCAGUUCCUGAGAUCAUGAUGCCUUUGAAGGAAGACAAGUGGAGAAAUAGCCUUGCACCUCAGUGUGGGUUCCCAGUAGAUGAUAUAUCACAGCAGCCUAAAACUUGUGAAUUUGCUUUACUUAGUUUAGUACAAAAAUUCACAGCCUCCAAAGUCUAUUUCUCCAUUAAGCCUUCCCUAGUUCCUCAGUCAGAGAUAGUUACCCUCUUCCUUGAGCUCUCAAGACAGCCUCCCAUCUAGUAUUAAUGUGCAAUGUCAUUAGAGAGUGUCUUCAAAUGCCACUGUGAUCUCUAAGAGGCAGAGGUGAUAUUUAAUUUGUCCUGUAUUCCCAAGAUUAGAAGAGGCCUGUGGACUCUGGCCAAU